GCGGGGGCGGGCGAGCAUAUACAUGCAGUCCGAACGAACUCUGAGUAUUGAUUGGUGCUUGCAUCAUGAUUUACAUUUGAGUGAGUGGCGAACUGGUGAGUAACACGUGGGAAACCUGCCCAGAAGCGGGGGAUAACACCUGGAAACAGAUGCUAAUACCGCAUAACAACUUGGACCGCAUGGUCCGAGUUUGAAAGAUGGCUUCGGCUAUCACUUUUGGAUGGUCCCGCGGCGUAUUAGCUAGAUGGUGGGGUAACGGCUCACCAUGGCAAUGAUACGUAGCCGACCUGAGAGGGUAAUCGGCCACAUUGGGACUGAGACACGGCCCAAACUCCUACGGGAGGCAGCAGUAGGGAAUCUUCCACAAUGGACGAAAGUCUGAUGGAGCAACGCCGCGUGAGUGAAGAAGGGUUUCGGCUCGUAAAACUCUGUUGUUAAAGAAGAACAUAUCUGAGAGUAACUGUUCAGGUAUUGACGGUAUUUAACCAGAAAGCCACGGCUAACUACGUGCCAGCACCCGCGGGUAAUCGUAGGUGGCAAGCGUUGUCCGGAUUUAUUGGGCGUAAAGCGAGCGCAGGCGGUUUUUUUUGUCUGAUGUGAAAGCCUUCGGCUCAACCGAAGAAGUGCAUCGGAAACUGGGAAACUUGAGUGCAGAAGAGGACAGUGGAACUCCAUGUGUAGCGGUGAAAUGCGUAGAUAUAUGGAAGAACACCAGUGGCGAAGGCGGCUGUCUGGUCUGUAACUGACGCUGAGGCUCGAAAGUAUGGGUAGCAAACAGGAUUAGAUACCCUGGUAGUCCAUACCGUAAACGAUGAAUGCUAAGUGUUGGAGGGUUUCCGCCCUUCAGUGCUGCAGCUAACGCAUUAAGCAUUCCGCCUGGGGAGUACGGCCGCAAGGCUGAAACUCAAAGGAAUUGACGGGGGCCCGCACAAGCGGUGGAGCAUGUGGUUUAUUUCGAAGCUACGCGAAGAACCUUACCAGGUCUUGACAUACUAUGCAAAUCUAAGAGAUUAGACGUUCCCUUCGGGGACAUGGAUACAGGUGGUGCAUGGUUGUCGUCAGCUCGUGUCCUGAAAUGUUGGGUUAAGU
RNAcentral lists this ribosomal RNA (1089 nucleotides) under Lactiplantibacillus plantarum. RNAcentral's name for it is "bacterial SSU rRNA". It matches the Rfam family "Bacterial small subunit ribosomal RNA", at positions 33 to 1085 of the family's 1533-position model. Lineage: Bacteria; Bacillati; Bacillota; Bacilli; Lactobacillales; Lactobacillaceae. The record is from RNAcentral.